CACACCCGUUCCCAUACCGAACACGGAAGUUAAGCUCUUCAGCGCCGAUGGUAGUCGGGGGUUUCCCCCUGUGAGAGUAGGACGCCGCCAAGC
Molecule: ribosomal RNA, 93 nt
Filed under: Bacillus subtilis
Lineage: Bacteria; Bacillati; Bacillota; Bacilli; Caryophanales; Bacillaceae
Also listed under: 10 other names
Source: RNAcentral